Molecule: ribosomal RNA, 95 nt
Filed under: Candidatus Thioglobus sp.
Lineage: Bacteria; Pseudomonadati; Pseudomonadota; Gammaproteobacteria; Pseudothioglobaceae (SeqCode)
Description: partial 23S ribosomal RNA
Rfam family: Bacterial large subunit ribosomal RNA (bases 1-84)
Source: RNAcentral
AGACUACGAGGUUGAUAGGCUAGGUGUGGAAGUGCAGCAAUGUAUGAAGCUAACUAGUACUAAUUGAUCGUGAGGCUUGACCAUAUAACACCCAA